RNAcentral lists this ribosomal RNA (253 nucleotides) under uncultured bacterium. RNAcentral's name for it is "partial 16S ribosomal RNA". It matches the Rfam family "Bacterial small subunit ribosomal RNA", at positions 524 to 776 of the family's 1533-position model. The record is from RNAcentral.
UACGUAGGGGGCAAGCGUUGUCCGGAAUUAUUGGGCGUAAAGAGCGUGUAGGCGGUCCGGUAAGUCAGCUGUGAAAGUCAAGGGCUCAACCCUUGAAAGCCGGUUGAUACUGUCGGGCUAGAGUCCGGAAGAGGCGAGUGGAAUUCCCGGUGUAGUGGUGAAAUGCGUAGAUAUCGGGAGGAACACCAGUGGCGAAGGCGACUACCUGGCCCAUUCUUGACGCUGAGGCGCGAAAGCUAGGGGAGCGAACGGG